UACUUGGUCCUAAUCUAUUCUAAGGUCUUUUAGAACAAAUGUAACUCCCACUAUUUUCUCGAAUCCCUCACACUCCUCUGGUAGGAAAACGGAAAUCCCACACGACUAGGGUUUCUAGUGGGUACUGCGGUCCCACCAAUUUACAUGCCACCUCACCUAACAGUUAUUGGUGACACAUAGAUUGAUGAAUGUACAACUCUUGUACAAUACUUCUCAAGCAUGUUGCAGUGUAACUUGGUCUCUAAGUCAUGAAGACCUCACCUAACAGUUAUUGGUCCCAUUUCUUAGUUAAGUCAGACCCACCGUAUAACCGUAGGAAUAAAGUCGUCAUUGGGUCCUCACCUAACAGUUAUUGGUGCCCAACCCCACCUUUACCCUACAACAUCUCAUGUCUAUAGAGAGGUCCA
RNAcentral lists this long non-coding RNA (407 nucleotides) under Phoenix dactylifera (date palm). RNAcentral describes it as "long non-coding RNA (PDAC_LNC012613)". Lineage: Eukaryota; Viridiplantae; Streptophyta; Magnoliopsida; Arecales; Arecaceae. The record is from RNAcentral.